RNAcentral lists this long non-coding RNA (995 nucleotides) under Homo sapiens (human). RNAcentral's name for it is "HSALNT0078980". The record is from RNAcentral. Lineage: Eukaryota; Metazoa; Chordata; Mammalia; Primates; Hominidae.
CCCCUCUGCUGCAGGUCUGCUGGAGUUUGCUGGAGGUCCACUCCAGACCCUGUUUGUCUGUGUAUCACCAGCGGAGACUGCAGAACAGCAAAGGUUGCUGCCUGCUCCUUCCUCUGAAAGCUUCAUCCCAGAGGUACAACUAAGACCUCUGGAUAUUAUAAAACAAACAGAGCUAACCCACCUCAGAAGAAUGUCUAACAGAAUUUCUCUAAUCAGAAAGGCAACGAUAAAAGAAGACACCUUGGACCAUCAGGAAGAAAGAGCAUGGUAGGCAAAAAUAUGGGCUCUUCAGGGUUCCAGGAAGUCCCUGUGUCUCUUUGUCCUAGAGCUCUCAUAGAACUCCAGACGGAUCUGGCUGCUGGGUCAUGAUGCAGAAUGCUAACCUGCAGGGAGGGAGAGGCGACUUCCUAUUGCCCGCCUGCUUUUAUUGUCAAUUCCUAAGUUCAACAACAAAGAGGAACUUCCGCCCUGUCCCUGGACCUCACAUUUUCCUGGAAAAGAAAGCUUCUGGCACUGGUGCACACAUUAGGCCAAGAGGAGCCUGCUUUCCUUGACUUUUCUGAUAAUCAAAGGUGCAAAAAGGGACCACAAAGCUUUCCCAGGGAAUCACUGAGGCAGAGACAAAUCUGAAUUGCUCCAUUCAUCUCCUAUUGUUCAAGGUCAAGAUAAUAAGAUAUACCAUACCCUAAUGCCACCUGCACAUGCAAAGUACCCUCAGCCCUACAUUCUGCAUUGAGAGUUGUGUGGAAGCAACAGGAAAACAGUGGAAAGUUAGGAGAGAAAAAAAUUUCUCAAAAUCAAUAUGCCAUAUCUUUCAAUUUUGCUCAAGUAAAUAGUUUUGAAAAAGGUAAAUGUCUUCAUUUUUUCCUGCCAAGGGCAAGGCGUUUCAGUUUUUCCUUUGUGGUGGAUGCAGGAAGAGACAGAGGAAGCGCCAGUGUUUAGCCUGGAAAAUUGUUAAAAAUCUAUACUUAAUGUUAUUAUUCUGUUACCAUGCA